Long non-coding RNA from Medicago truncatula (barrel medic), 629 nucleotides. RefSeq lists it as uncharacterized. The record is from RefSeq and is a predicted model, not a curated record. The transcript is spliced from 4 exons. NCBI's taxonomy places the organism in Eukaryota, Viridiplantae, Streptophyta, Magnoliopsida, Fabales, Fabaceae.
UGAUGUUAUUAUCACACCUCUCCAUUAUUGUUCAAUACCCAUGCAAACUCUACAGUGCCCCAUGCUUCCCUCUUCUUCUCCCUCUGUCACUUUUGAUUAUACAUCUUCAAAUGAGAAGUAUUGUAGAUAUAUUGCUUUCCUACCAUGCUUUGACGGCACCUUCGAUACAAGGAUUUUAAUUUCUGAAUAACUUUCUAGAGUAAAUUGGUGAUAUUCAAUUGGAAUUCGGUGAAAUUGUAAGUAUCAGAGUGUGAGGAUUGGAGUACGAUGGUUCAGAUUGAAUAUUUUGCAUCAGUUUUAGAACUUGGGCAUCUUCAUCGUUGCUUACUUGCUUUGGUAUAGAUUUAUUGAGACAUACAUGCCUGGAGAUGAUUGAUUAAAUUCAUCUGAUCAAAUUGGAUUUGUGAUAUGUCACAACUCAUGGUGUGGUUAGUUUUAAACUACCUAUACAUGUCGUUGCUAUAGUAGACAUUAAGUUAUAAUAGUAAUCUUUGUUUGUUUAUCAUCUUCUAUAAGUUUCAUAUAUGGAACUAAUACAAAGUGACAAGGGUAGAACCUUGAACGAAGGAUGACUGCUAUGGAAAUAUGAUAAUGUUCCUGGUAUGAGUUAAAGUAUGUUUUUUUUUUAU